RNAcentral lists this unclassified non-coding RNA (132 nucleotides) under Candidatus Rickettsia mendelii. Lineage: Bacteria; Pseudomonadati; Pseudomonadota; Alphaproteobacteria; Rickettsiales; Rickettsiaceae. The record is from RNAcentral.
CUGUGAGAUUACAUGUGCAUAUAGUGUUAAUUAUAUAAUCAAAUGUAGCAUCAAUUCAUAAAAGUUAAGUUAGCUUUAUCAACUAACAAUAGUUAAAUUAAUACAAACAUACUCAAAAAAGUUUGUAUUGUU